RNAcentral lists this unclassified non-coding RNA (253 nucleotides) under uncultured bacterium. RNAcentral describes it as "contains 16S-23S intergenic spacer region". It matches the Rfam family "Bacterial small subunit ribosomal RNA", at positions 524 to 776 of the family's 1533-position model. The record is from RNAcentral.
UACGGAGGGUGCAAGCGUUGUUCGGAAUUACUGGGCGUAAAGCGCAUGUAGGCGGUUUUUUAAGUUGGAUGUGAAAUCCCUAAGCUCAACUUAGGAAUUGCAUCCAAAACUGGAAAACUAGAGUACGAGAGAGGAAAGUGGAAUUCCCAGUGUAGAGGUGAAAUUCGUAGAUAUUGGGAAGAACACCAGAGGCGAAGGCGGCUUUCUGGAUCGAUACUGACGCUCAGAUGCGACAGCGUGGGGAGCAAACAGG